RNAcentral lists this ribosomal RNA (497 nucleotides) under uncultured bacterium. RNAcentral describes it as "partial 16S ribosomal RNA". It matches the Rfam family "Bacterial small subunit ribosomal RNA", at positions 28 to 507 of the family's 1533-position model. The record is from RNAcentral.
GAUGAACGCUGGCGGCGUGCCUAAUACAUGCAAGUCGAGCGAACAGACGAGGAGCUUGCUCCUCUGACGUUAGCGGCGGACGGGUGAGUAACACGUGGAUAACCUACCUAUAAGACUGGGAUAACUUCGGGAAACCGGAGCUAAUACCGGAUAAUAUAUUGAACCGCAUGGUUCAAUAGUGAAAGACGGUUUUGCUGUCACUUAUAGAUGGAUCCGCGCCGCAUUAGCUAGUUGGUAAGGUAACGGCUUACCAAGGCAACGAUGCGUAGCCGACCUGAGAGGGUGAUCGGCCACACUGGAACUGAGACACGGUCCAGACUCCUACGGGAGGCAGCAGUAGGGAAUCUUACGCAAUGGGCGAAAGCGUGACGGAGCAACGCCGCGUGAGUGAUGAAGGUCUUCGGAUCGUAAAACUCUGUUAUUAGGGAAGAACAAAUGUGUAAGUAACUAUGCACAUCUUGACGGUACCUAAUCAGAAAGCCACGGCUAACUACGUG